RNAcentral lists this ribosomal RNA (473 nucleotides) under uncultured bacterium. RNAcentral describes it as "partial 16S ribosomal RNA". It matches the Rfam family "Bacterial small subunit ribosomal RNA", at positions 28 to 507 of the family's 1533-position model. The record is from RNAcentral.
GAUGAACGCUGGCGGCGUGCCUAAUACAUGCAAGUCGAGCGAACAGACGAGGAGCUUGCUCCUCUGACGUUGGCGGCGGGCGUAAGAGUAACACGUGGAUCACCUACCUAUAGGACUGGGAUGACUUAGGGAAACCGGAGCUAAUACCGGAUAAUAUAUUCAACCGGAUGGUUGAAUAGUGAAAUACGGUAUUGAUGUCACUUAGAGAUGGAUGCGCGGCGCUUCAGCUAUUUGGUAAGGUGACGGCCUACCAAGGCAACGAUGGGUAGCCGACCGGAGAGGGCGACCGGCCAAACUGGGACUGAGACACGGCCCAGACUCCUACGGGAGGCAGCAGUGGGGAAUAUUGCGCAAUGGGCGGAAGCCUGACGCAGCGACGCCGCGUGGGGGAUGACGGCCUUCGGAGAGUAAACCUCUUUCGACCCCGACGAAUUUGGACGGUAGGGGUAGAAGAAGCACCGGCCAACUACGUG